This is a long non-coding RNA of Pogoniulus pusillus (Red-fronted tinkerbird), 783 nucleotides long. RefSeq lists it as uncharacterized. The record is from RefSeq and is a predicted model, not a curated record. Lineage: Eukaryota; Metazoa; Chordata; Aves; Piciformes; Lybiidae. The transcript is spliced from 3 exons.
GGAAAGACAGAAGCUCCAAGUUUGCCCAGCUGGGCAGAGGGAUCCUCCUCCUGACAUCACUGCAGUGUAUUGAAAUAAGAAAGUAGCACAGCACAAGAGGAGAAAACAGAACUGAACAGCUGCUGUUGAAGACCUCCAUGCUGUACAUUUCUAGGAGAGAGGGGCACUGCUCUGUCCUAGCCCACAUCUGGUGCUGAGAAAGGAAUGCUUGUGAAAAGCAGGAAUGUGCUGGGUGCUCUCCUUUCAGUCCAGCUUCACCUGAGAAGAGCCAAGCUGUGGAUCAGGGCACAGCUCUGAGACUUAAGUAAGCAUGAGGUUCUGGAAAAAAAACAGAUGUCCCCUCUUGGACCUCACUGGUAUUAGCAGCUUGGAAGGAGAUGUAAGCUCACUUGUUUUUUCAAUGCCUGAUCAUUUUUCUCCCAGGCUAUGAAGGACACAGCUAUUUCACUGAAGCAAGUGAAAAUGCAGAAAAUAUUAGCCUGCUGAAGAAGAGACUGCUACACUCAACAUCUCUAUCACUUCAAAGCUACUUCCAGAUGAUCAUCUGAUUGCUUUCUCUGUUGUGUUCUUUUAAAAUUCAAGGCAGCCAAUAUUUAAUAGCCUUAACACUGUAUUUUAAUUACUACAAUCCAUCAACAGUGCUUAAUUUAUGCAUUAGUGGAAUUCAGUGUUAAAAAUAAAUGCAAGAUUCUGAUUAAGUUGCAAUUGAAAUAAUACAUAAAUAAUACAUAUGGAGAUUGAAAGCCUGAAGUGCUCCACAUAUUAAAGCAAUUUACUGUGUCA